Molecule: ribosomal RNA, 1218 nt
Filed under: metagenome
Description: bacterial SSU rRNA
Rfam family: Bacterial small subunit ribosomal RNA
Source: RNAcentral
GGUCUGAGAGGAUGAGCAGCCACACUGGGACUGAGACACGGUCCAGACUCCUACGGGAGGCAGCAGUGGGGAAUUUUCCGCAAUGGGCGAAAGCCUGACGGAGCAAUACCGCGUGAGGGAGGAAGGCCUUUGGGUUGUAAACCUCUUUUCUCAGGGAAGAAGAUCUGACGGUACCUGAGGAAUAAGCAUCGGCUAACUCCGUGCCAGCAGCCGCGGUAAUACGGAGGAUGCAAGCGUUAUCCGGAAUCAUUGGGCGUAAAGCGUCCGCAGGGGGUUUUUCAAGUCUGCUGUUAAAGACUGGAGCUCAACUCCGGAAAGGCAGUGGAAACUGAGAAACUAGAGUUCGGUAGGGGUAGCGGGAAUUCCCAGUGUAGCGGUGAAAUGCGUAGAUAUUGGGAAGAACAUCGGUGGCGAAGGCGCGCUACUGGACCGAAACUGACACUCAGGGACGAAAGCUAGGGGAGCGAAAGGGAUUAGAUACCCCUGUAGUCCUAGCUGUAAACGAUGGAAACUAGGUGUGGCUUGUAUCGACCCGAGCCGUGCCGUAGCUAACGCGUUAAGUUUCCCGCCUGGGGAGUACGCACGCAAGUGUGAAACUCAAAGGAAUUGACGGGGGCCCGCACAAGCGGUGGAGUAUGUGGUUUAAUUCGAUGCAACGCGAAGAACCUUACCAGGGCUUGACAUGUCGCGAAUCUCCUUGAAAGGGGAGAGUGCCUUCGGGAGCGCGAACACAGGUGGUGCAUGGCUGUCGUCAGCUCGUGUCGUGAGAUGUUGGGUUAAGUCCCGCAACGAGCGCAACCCUCGUCUUUAGUUGCCAGCAUUAAGGUGGGCACUUUAGAGAGACUGCCGGUGACAAACCGGAGGAAGGUGGGGAUGACGUCAAGUCAGCAUGCCCCUUACGCCCUGGGCUACACACGUACUACAAUGGUUGGGACAAAGGGCAGCGACCCCGCGAGGGAAAGCGAAUCUCAUCAAACCCAGCCUCAGUUCAGAUUGCAGGCUGCAACUCGCCUGCAUGAAGGAGGAAUCGCUAGUAAUCGCAGGUCAGCAUACUGCGGUGAAUUCGUUCCCGGGCCUUGUACACACCGCCCGUCACACCAUGGAAGCUGGUCACGCCCGAAGUAGUUACCCUAACCUUUCGGGGGGGGGGACUCCUAAGGCAGGGCUAGUGACUGGGGUGAAGUCGUAACAAGGUAGCCGUACCGGAAGGUGUGGCUG